AUCUGGACCAGGAAACCCACCACCCAGAUCAACUUCAGAUAGACCUGUACUGCUCUGGAGCUCCCUCUGCUGGGCUCAGCCAUGCACACACGAGCAGUCAAGAUCAAUUUAAGAUCAUCAAGAAACCAUGGAUCAAACAAAGAGCAUACAACUGAAGAUCCCUCUGAAUUAUGUCUCAAGUAAAUGGAAUCAGUUUGAAAUCAUUCAUUGUUACUUAACAUGAAAAACAUAAAAUAUAAAACAUCAUGUA
Molecule: long non-coding RNA, 250 nt
Organism: Notolabrus celidotus (New Zealand spotty)
Lineage: Eukaryota; Metazoa; Chordata; Actinopteri; Labriformes; Labridae
Exons: 2
Source: RefSeq, a predicted model, not a curated record